UCCCCCAGGCAUGCAGUGAGUGCUUUUGUCUUCACUGUAUAGGAGAGACUGAUUUCACACCAAAGUUAUGUACUGUUCCCUCUGGCUUUAAUUCCUCUCAUUCCAGUAAACCUGAAUCUCCUCUGUUUCUAGUCACAGUGGUACAAUUCAGUUGUGUGUGUGCUCUCUUACGGGUAUGUAAUUAGAGACUGGAAAAAGUGGAGCAGUUUUGAGCUGAUGGAUGGGAGUCCUCCUAGACUUGAAUCCUUUCACCCCAGAGAUCAGUCUUUCUGCCUUUACUGAGGAGACCUCACAGGAAAGCUUCUGUGUGGCAGUGCCCCAUGUGUCAUUUUUCUUCUUCCAGAGAAGAGCUUGUUUGUGGAAAGGUGUAUCCACAAGGACUAGUAAAACAUUCCCGGAUGUACCUGCUCCUUCAGUGAUUAGCGCCAGCACCAGGACAUCCUACAGCACCUCCAGCCGAAGUGUGCUGCCGAAGGUGGUUCAGCUGGUUACCGGCUCCUCCUUCCCUUGGAGUUAUCAGUCUGCUUUGACCUUUCUGUCACCUUUAUCAGCAGACACUUGGCUGCUUGCUGCUGACUCAGAAGCUGCUGUCUCAGCUGAGAAUACCCUGCUUUGUGAGUCAUGCACUGUCUUUACAGGCAAAUGGCUUAAAGGGCAUGGUUGAAAGUUGGCUCUUUCUGUGCUCCUUGAGCCUCGUGCUGCCAAGUGGAUUGGAAAGUGUAAGCAAGUGUUGAAUCAUGUAUAAUUAUCAUUCUGGGUUUCCUUCUAAGGCCACUUCAUAUAUCUACUAGUACAGAUCUGUGAUUGUAGUUCAUGUAUGUGGCUGAUGAAGAGGUGGGCAAGUCUUCCUUCCUGGCUGACCUUGUGAUGGGUACCGCUGAUGUGUCAGACAGUGAGUCAUCACAGUUUUUUUUGAUUUCAUGAGGUUAGGCUGAAUUUUCCCAAGUCCUCCAAGUGGCCAUAGCUGCUUCCUUGAGUGGCUGACUUGGGAGAAAUAUCAAGAUCCAUAAGCAGGCAUCGCAGAUGAGUACAUGCCUGCCUAUUCCGUGUGUUAACAUCUCAGUUCUACUGCUCAUCAGCGGUCAAAAUGUAAUAGUGUUUUGUAAUGGGAAAGUCAAAAUCUGUCAAACUGUUAAUGGAAACACCUUUACCUAGAAAUAUAUGCCUAAGUAUAAAAUACAUAUGUAUGUAUUCACACAUACACAUUCAUAUGACUGCCUAUAUGUGUGUGUGUGUGUUUCUGUUACAAUAAACUGUUGUCCUGGG
This is a long non-coding RNA of Cygnus olor (mute swan), 1266 nucleotides long. RefSeq lists it as uncharacterized. NCBI's taxonomy places the organism in Eukaryota, Metazoa, Chordata, Aves, Anseriformes, Anatidae. The transcript is spliced from 2 exons. The record is from RefSeq and is a predicted model, not a curated record.